Molecule: long non-coding RNA, 630 nt
Organism: Lynx canadensis (Canada lynx)
Lineage: Eukaryota; Metazoa; Chordata; Mammalia; Carnivora; Felidae
Exons: 3
Source: RefSeq, a predicted model, not a curated record
CCGAGGCCUGCGGCACAGCCACGCUCACUCUCUCCACUCUUUCUCUCCCCGGUGGCCACCAGUAGACUCCUGCUUGGCCUGUGCUUGUGAACUCAGGCCCGUGAGAAUGAGGACUCACUCUCUGCUUAGUAUAUGGACGAUCUGAAGGGCAGACUUCUAGCAACCUGUUUAGCACCUUGGCCUGGUCCUCCUCUCGGCCUGGCAUCCCUGAGCAUGGGACUUCAGCAGAGAACAAAUGUCUAGUCUUCUAAGAAGAGAGAGAAGAGGACCGGAAGGGUGGAAAUAUAAAUGCCUGGCUGCACAGAGGUGGAUGAGGGAACCCAGAGAUCUACCUUCUAUAGACCUUCAACCAAACUGUGUUUUAGCCUCAUGCUUCAUCUUCACUCUCUGCGGUAAGAACUUCCCAGCAUCCCUUGCAGCCAAAGAGCAGGCAUGUGCCCUAAGAUCCACCAAUCAAACACCCACAUGAAACUCUGACCUGGAAGUCAGCAACAUGAGGAAACAGAUUGGAUUCUGAGCACUGUGCCUUCAUUUUGCAGGUGAAGGUGGUGGUGGCAGGAAUAUCCCUUCAGUAUGAGGUUCUGAGCUGCAUUCCUAGGGGUUUAGCCUUGAGCUUCUUCUUCAGAUCUC